UACGGAGGGUGCAAGCGUUAUCCGGAUUUACUGGGCUUAAAGGGUGCGUAGGUGGGUCUGUAAGUCAGUGGUGAAAUCUCCGAGCUUAACUCGGAAACUGCCAUUGAUACUAUAGGUCUUGAAUUAUCUGGAGGUAAGCGGAAUAUGUCAUGUAGCGGUGAAAUGCUUAGAUAUGACAUAGAACACCAAUUGCGAAGGCAGCUUGCUGCGGAUCGAUUGACACUGAGGCACGAAAGCGUGGGGAGCAAACAGG
Molecule: ribosomal RNA, 253 nt
Filed under: uncultured bacterium
Lineage: Bacteria
Description: partial 16S ribosomal RNA
Rfam family: Bacterial small subunit ribosomal RNA
Source: RNAcentral